Long non-coding RNA from Physeter macrocephalus (sperm whale), 553 nucleotides. RefSeq lists it as uncharacterized. Lineage: Eukaryota; Metazoa; Chordata; Mammalia; Artiodactyla; Physeteridae. The transcript is spliced from 3 exons. The record is from RefSeq and is a predicted model, not a curated record.
GGGGACCAAAAAUCAGACUCUAAGAAUCAUAACUCCAGGCCGAAGGACCUUCAGAAUUAAGCCAGGCUUCUGCAGGCGCUGAAAUUCUUUGUACCCACGUUGAAUAGGAGUGAUGAGAAGGAACAUCUUCGCCUUGUUCCCCAUCUUAGAGGAAAAGCAUUCAAUCUUUUACCAGACUGACAGCUUCCAUUCCUUCCCCGUGUAUGCUUUUAUAUGAACAUUUUAGUAAAGGCAAAACUCUAGAGACAGAGGGAACAACAGUAGUUGCCUGGAGCUAGGGAUGGAAGUGGGGAUUGACCUUGAACAGGCACCAGGGAACUUUCUGGAGUGACGGAAAUGUUCUAAAACUGGAUGAUGGUGAUGGUUGCACACUGUAUGAAUUUAGAAGAAUUCAUCAAACUCUAUAUUUAAAAUGGAUACAUUGAAUCUUUUGUAAAUUGUAUCUCAAAGAAGAAGGAGGAGGAGGAGAAAAAGAAGAAAAGAAAUAAUCAACAAGGAGGGGGGCAAGACAGGGCUUCUGGAGUCCUGGUGAUGUUCUGUUUCUUGAUCUGGG